ACUCCUACGGGAGGCAGCAGUGGGGAAUUUUGGACAAUGGGCGCAAGCCUGAUCCAGCCAUGCCGCGUGCAGGAUGAAGGCCUUCGGGUUGUAAACUGCUUUUGUACGGAACGAAAAGGUGCCUUCUAAUAAAGGGC
RNAcentral lists this ribosomal RNA (137 nucleotides) under uncultured Acidovorax sp. Its description in RNAcentral is "partial 16S ribosomal RNA". It matches the Rfam family "Bacterial small subunit ribosomal RNA", at positions 335 to 467 of the family's 1533-position model. Lineage: Bacteria; Pseudomonadati; Pseudomonadota; Betaproteobacteria; Burkholderiales; Comamonadaceae. The record is from RNAcentral.